Molecule: ribosomal RNA, 505 nt
Filed under: uncultured bacterium
Lineage: Bacteria
Description: bacterial SSU rRNA
Rfam family: Bacterial small subunit ribosomal RNA
Source: RNAcentral
CUACGUGCCAGCAGCCGCGGUAAUACGGAAGGUCCGGGCGUUAUCCGGAUUUAUUGGGUUUAAAGGGAGCGUAGGCCGUGGAUUAAGCGUGUUGUGAAAUGCAGGUGCUCAACGUCUGCACUGCAGCGCGAACUGGUCCACUUGAGUGUGCACAACGCAGGCGGAAUUCGUCGUGUAGCGGUGAAAUGCUUAGAUAUGACGAAGAACUCCGAUUGCGAAGGCAGCUUGCGGGAGCACAACUGACGCUGAAGCUCGAAAGUGCGGGUAUCGAACAGGAUUAGAUACCCUGGUAGUCCGCACGGUAAACGAUGGAUGCCCGUUGUCAGGCUGUUUCAGCCUGGUGACCAAGCGAAAGCAUUAAGCAUCCCACCUGGGGAGUACGCCGGCAACGGUGAAACUCAAAGGAAUUGACGGGGGCCCGCACAAGCGGAGGAACAUGUGGUUUAAUUCGAUGAUACGCGAGGAACCUUACCCGGGCUUGAAUUGCAGACGAAGGCUUCAGAGA